GUAGACUCCGACGUGGAGGGGCUAGCUGGUGAGAAAGGGGAAAAGGUAUGUCUGGAGAAUCUGGCACUAAAGGACAGCACAGAGUGAGGAGACCUUGGACAUAAUGGUCCAACAUGGAGACUCUGGGAAGCCAGGUGAUGUAGGACCCCCUGGACUGCCUGGUCCUCGGGGGUUGAACGGCAUGAGCGGUGUGCAUGGCAGGCCGGGUAUUGAGGGUCCACCGGGACAAGAUAUAUCUGACCAGCAUAUUAUUGAUGUGGUAUAAAGAAUGUUGCAAGAGAGGCUGGCAGCAGUAGCAGUGAGCACUAAAAGGGCUGUGCCGUUGAACAACCGGCUAUUCUGGUCCUCCGUGAUUAAUGGUUCCACAAGGACCACAUGAUUUGCCUGGUUCCCGAAGAAUUCCUGGAACGAUGGGAGCUGACAGACGGAUUGGAAACACAUGUCUUAAAGCAGGAUGUGCUCCAUUCGACUGCCGGAGAGUACUGAGCCGUUUCGAACAGGAGGAGAAUAUAUAGGAGGUCUGCAGUGGGCGGGGCUCACGCUCAACACUGCAGUGUCGAUAUUUUUGACUCUCAAAACUAAUCCUACAUUUGUGAUGUGUCUACUCGACAUGGUGUGUGCAUCACAAUGUGGACAAACACACAGGUAAGUAUCAUGGUGUUUAUUUAAAGCAUUAAAAUGUUUGCUUUGAUCUUUCUCCCAUUCCUGUUUAGUGAUGUGUCUGAAACAAGUUUCGGUGAUCAACUUGUGGGCCCCAAACAACACACACACCACAACAAAGUCCCCAGAAGGCCCACGAAUGAUGGGACGCCACCCAGACGGACUGGAGGC
Molecule: long non-coding RNA, 831 nt
Organism: Nerophis ophidion (straightnose pipefish)
Lineage: Eukaryota; Metazoa; Chordata; Actinopteri; Syngnathiformes; Syngnathidae
Exons: 6
Source: RefSeq, a predicted model, not a curated record